Molecule: non-coding RNA, 787 nt
Organism: Bactrocera oleae (olive fruit fly)
Lineage: Eukaryota; Metazoa; Arthropoda; Insecta; Diptera; Tephritidae
Source: RefSeq, a predicted model, not a curated record
UGUUUAAAAAAAAGCAAAACUAAUUGUCUUACGUUUCAGAAAAAGCACUUCAACAAAUGAAAAAUGUAUUAGUUUUCAACGCAAUGCUGGUACUGCCUUUUAAACUAAUUCAAAGUGUUGAUACUCGCUGGAAUUCUACAUUUGAUAUGGUUGAACGUUUUAUAAAAAUGGAAGAUGGCGUUAAAAAUUUGGGACUAAAAUGCGCAUGGGCCGAUGGAGAAGAUCGUGCAGACCAAGAAUAUAUAGAUGUAACCGUUGAAACUUAUAGUUUUCGAGAUAUUUGCGUUUAAAGUUGUAACUGAUAUAGUGUGUUGCCGAGUUUUGUUUUAAAAUUUAUAACUUUAAGAAAGUUUUUAUUGUAUAUUCAAAUAUUUUUCGAUUAUUAAAAUUCAUAAAGAUGAAAUAUUCAUUUAAUGACUAUAUCCCUUGGAGUUAUUUAGAAUCUUUUGUAAACUCUUGACACUAAUUAGGACAUUGUAUUAUUAUUAUGUUGUUCAUGAAUACCUGAUUUUUGAAAUUUAUACAAGAAGAUUGUUUUAGCAUGUACUUGUUAAUGAAUACAAUUGAAUUGUACCUGAUUUUAUAACUCAUUUUGGUUUUUGUUUAAGGUGAUUAUUUCGGCUUAUAUUGUUAAUGUAAUUACUAUCCAUGAAGUGUACCUGAUUAUAUAUAAAUAUUUUGUUUUUCUAGUUACAUUUGUUAUGAAAAGUAGAUUAUAGGCUCCUGGGAAACCAAACACCCAAACAAGAUCGGUUACACACCUCCAUUGCAUCCUCAGAAGUGAUCA